This 505-nucleotide ribosomal RNA is filed under the name Vibrio alginolyticus. Its description in RNAcentral is "bacterial SSU rRNA". It matches the Rfam family "Bacterial small subunit ribosomal RNA", at positions 376 to 873 of the family's 1533-position model. The record is from RNAcentral. Lineage: Bacteria; Pseudomonadati; Pseudomonadota; Gammaproteobacteria; Vibrionales; Vibrionaceae.
CGCAAGCCUGAUGCAGCCAUGCCGCGUGUAUGAAGAAGGCCUUCGGGUUGUAAAGUACUUUCAGUCGUGAGGAAGGCGGCGUCGUUAAUAGCGGCGUUGUUUGACGUUAGCGACAGAAGAAGCACCGGCUAACUCCGUGCCAGCAGCCGCGGUAAUACGGAGGGUGCGAGCGUUAAUCGGAAUUACUGGGCGUAAAGCGCAUGCAGGUGGUUUGUUAAGUCAGAUGUGAAAGCCCGGGGCUCAACCUCGGAAUAGCAUUUGAAACUGGCAGACUAGAGUACUGUAGAGGGGGGUAGAAUUUCAGGUGUAGCGGUGAAAUGCGUAGAGAUCUGAAGGAAUACCGGUGGCGAAGGCGGCCCCCUGGACAGAUACUGACACUCAGAUGCGAAAGCGUGGGGAGCAAACAGGAUUAGAUACCCUGGUAGUCCACGCCGUAAACGAUGUCUACUUGGAGGUUGUGGCCUUGAGCCGUGGCUUUCGGAGCUAACGCGUUAAGUAGACCGCC